This 92-nucleotide transfer RNA is filed under the name Oscillospiraceae bacterium. Its description in RNAcentral is "tRNA-Ser". It matches the Rfam family "tRNA". From Rfam's summary of the family: Transfer RNA (tRNA) molecules are approximately 80 nucleotides in length. Their secondary structure includes four short double-helical elements and three loops (D, anti-codon, and T loops). The record is from RNAcentral. Lineage: Bacteria; Bacillati; Bacillota; Clostridia; Eubacteriales; Oscillospiraceae.
GGAGAGGUGGCUGAGCUGGCCUAAGGCGCACGAUUGGAAAUCGUGUAGACGUUAAUAGCGUCUCAAGGGUUCGAAUCCCUUCCUCUCCGCCA